CACCUUUGGAUUACCCCUUCGCUGUGUGCCUUAUCUACCCACAUCGUGACAGAAAGCAAGACCAUAAGACUGAAAGUAAGCGGCGUCUUUUCCCCCCCCUGGAGAAGUUAAAAAG
This is a long non-coding RNA of Sinocyclocheilus rhinocerous, 115 nucleotides long. RefSeq lists it as uncharacterized. The record is from RefSeq and is a predicted model, not a curated record. NCBI's taxonomy places the organism in Eukaryota, Metazoa, Chordata, Actinopteri, Cypriniformes, Cyprinidae. The transcript is spliced from 3 exons.